GCUUAGGGCCAUACCACCCUGAGCACGCCCGAUCUCGUCUGAUCUCGGAAGCUAAUCAGGGUCGGGCCUGGUUAGUAGUUGGAUGGGAGCCCGCCUGGGAAUACCAGGUGCUGUAAGCA
This is a ribosomal RNA of Cyprinus carpio (common carp), 119 nucleotides long. NCBI's taxonomy places the organism in Eukaryota, Metazoa, Chordata, Actinopteri, Cypriniformes, Cyprinidae. The record is from Ensembl.